CCUACGGGUGGCAGCAGUGAGGAAUAUUGGUCAAUGGACGAGAGUCUGAACCAGCCAAGUAGCGUGAAGGAUUACUGCCCUAUGGGUUGUAAACUUCUUUUAUAUGGGAAUAAAACAGGGUAUGCAUACCCUCUUGUAUGUACCAUAUGAAUAAGGAUCGGCUAACUCCGUGCCAGCAGCCGCGGUAAUACGGAGGAUCCGAGCGUUAUCCGGAUUUAUUGGGUUUAAAGGGAGCGUAGGCGGUUUGUUAAGUCAGGUGUGAAUGUUUGCGGCUUAACCGUAAAAUUGAGGUUGAAACUGGAAGUCUUGAGUACAGUAGAGGUGGGCGGAAUUCGUGGUGUAGCGGUGAAAUGCUUAGAUAUCACGAAGAACUCCGAUUGCGAAGGCAGCUCACUGGACUGCUACUGACACGGAUGCUCGAAAGUGUGGGUAUCAAACAGGAUUAGAUACCCGGGUAGUC
RNAcentral lists this ribosomal RNA (460 nucleotides) under uncultured bacterium. RNAcentral's name for it is "partial 16S ribosomal RNA". It matches the Rfam family "Bacterial small subunit ribosomal RNA", at positions 338 to 795 of the family's 1533-position model. The record is from RNAcentral.